CAAUAGCGUAUAUUAAAGUUGUUGCGGUAAAAAAGCUCGUAGUUGGAUUUCUACCGAAGAUAGCCGGUCGGGUCUUCGACCUUGUAUCUGGUUUUGUCUUUGGUAUCCUCAUAGGGAACGUUUCUGCGCUUUAUUGCGUGGUGCGGUAUCUAUGACUUUUACUUUGAGGAAAUUAGAGUGUUCACGGCAGGCAAACGCCUUGAAUAUAUUAGCAUGGAAUAAUAACAUAGGAUCUUCGUCCUAUUUUGUUGGUUUCUAGGGCUAAGAUAAUGAUUAAUAGGGAUAAUUGGGGGCAUCUGUAUCAACGCGUCAGAGGUGGAAUUCUUGGAUUGCGUUGCGACAAACUACUGCGAAAGCAUUUGCAAAGGAUGUUUUCAUUGA
This 381-nucleotide ribosomal RNA is filed under the name uncultured eukaryote. RNAcentral's name for it is "partial 18S ribosomal RNA". It matches the Rfam family "Eukaryotic small subunit ribosomal RNA", at positions 592 to 976 of the family's 1831-position model. The record is from RNAcentral.